This 850-nucleotide ribosomal RNA is filed under the name uncultured bacterium. Its description in RNAcentral is "bacterial SSU rRNA". It matches the Rfam family "Bacterial small subunit ribosomal RNA", at positions 40 to 878 of the family's 1533-position model. The record is from RNAcentral.
CANGCGCUGUUUAGAAUGCAAGUCGAACGGGGAACCGACCAGUUAUUUAUAUUGGUUAGUUUCUAGUGGCGCACGGGUGAGUAACACGUGAACGACAUACCCUGUAGUGGGGGAUAGCCCGCCGAAAGGCGGAUUAAUACCCCAUGGUACCUUCGGGUUAAAGAUGGCUUUCGGGCUGUCGCUACGGGAUUGGUUCGCGCCCUAUCAGCUUGUUGGUGAGGUAACGGCUCACCAAGGCUACGACGGGUACCUGGUCUGAGAGGAUGAUCAGGCACACUGGAACUGAGACACGGUCCAGACACCUACGGGUGGCAGCAGUCGAGAAUAAUUCACAAUGGGCGAAAGCCUGAUGGUGCAACGCCGCGUGGAGGAUGACGGUCUUCGGAUUGUAAACUCCUGUCAUCUGGGAGUAAGACCUGGGGGUUAAUAGCCCACAGGGUUGAUAGUACCAGAAGAGGAAGGGACGGCUAACUUCGUGCCAGCAGCCGCGGUAAUACGAAGGUCCCAAGCGUUGUUCGGAAUCACUGGGCGUAAAGGGCGCGUAGGCGGGUGGGAAAGUCUGGUGUGAAAGCCCGGGGCUCAACCCCGGAAGUGCACUGGAAACUUCCCGUCUUGAGUUCGGGAGAGGAAGGCAGAAUUCCCGGUGUAGGAGUGAAAUCCGUAGAGAUCGGGAGGAAAAUCAGUGGCGAAGGCGGCCUUCUGGAACGAAACUGACGCUGAGGCGCGAAAGCGUGGGGAGCAAACAGGAUUAGAGACCCUGGUAGUCCACGCCGUAAACGAUGGAUGCUUGGUGUGGGGAUCAUUUAGGAUUUCCGUGCCGGAGCUAACGCAAUAAGCAUCCCGCCUGGGG